This 322-nucleotide ribosomal RNA is filed under the name uncultured Sandonidae. RNAcentral's name for it is "SSU rRNA". The stretch from base 110 to 322 matches the Rfam family "Eukaryotic small subunit ribosomal RNA", at positions 742 to 955 of the family's 1831-position model. The record is from RNAcentral. Lineage: Eukaryota; Cercozoa; Glissomonadida; Viridiraptoridae.
GAUUUCUGGCUUGUACCAUUGAGCCGGCCACGGUUUCGUGUGUUAGUGCUUGAUGUUCUUGCCAUCCUUCCAAUCGCUGCGUAUUCUUCUUCAUUGAUUGGUACGUGGUAUUGGAUCUUUUACUUUGAACAAAUUAGAGUGUUUCAAGCAGGCUUUAUGCUAUGAAUACAUUAGCAUGGAAUAAUAAUUUAGGACUUCGGUUCUAUUUUGUUGGUUUCUAGGACUGAAGUAAUGAUUGAUAGGGACAGUUGGGGGUGCUAGUAUUCAGCGGCCAGAGGUGAAAUUCUCGGAUUCGCUGAAGACUAACUUAUGCGAAAGCAUU